CAGGAUCCUAACUCAUUUGGAAUAAGCUUAAGCAAUAGCCACUCCAAUUACUUUUUUUUUGUUUCCCACAUAUAUCCUCGCACUGGAGGCAAUCCUGUCCGAGCCGGGAACAUCCACAUGUAUGUGAGGCUAACUCUCCCAACAUGCAUUUUUUCCAUCCACAAGACUCGAACCCGAGUUCUUACUUAAAGGGAAUCAAGCAUGUACUUGAAGCAACGCCCAAUUGGUACUUGGAUCUCUACAAGAGACAAUUAGUUAGAUAAUUAGGCCUUGCUAUUAAUAUAUUUUUGCUGAUAUAUAUAAUAGUAGAGAAGGCUAAUAAUAUCAAAAGUGAAAUAAUGAAGCAGAGAAAGGAAGAAGGUGAAUCAAAGACAAAGGAGAUAGUGGUUCCAACGCCACCACCACUUCCAAAAUUCAGGGUCUGUUUAAGGCCAAGAGUAGAAGAAAGUGUGACAAAGAGAGAAAUUGCAAAGUUUUGGAAACAGAAAAAGAUUGAAGAGGAGGAUCAUCUUUUUGCUGCUAUCAAAGCUGCAGCAAGAAUCCGUGCACGCAAUCUCUCUGUAUGUUCCAUAUCCAUACUUCAAUCUCUCAAAUUUAGUAUCUUUUUUUAAAUCAUAGCUGAUCCAAAGUAAAAUAAAGUGUCCGAUACUCCUACCUAAUAGGCCCCGAAGAUGACGAUGGUUGUACAACCUUAUCAUCACAAGCAAAUAACUUGCUUACAGAAUUUGAACCUGUGACCUCAGAUCAACCUUGUGUCGAUUUUCACAUCUUAAUUUGCACUAUGAAAAUUGUUUAUUUGACAUGUGAAUCCCAUCACACAGUUAUAUGAUAUAUCUUCAUGAUGUGCUGCAAUUUGUUGAAAAGUUAUAAACAAAAAAACUAAUUUGUUGGAUGUUAUAAGAUGAUUUCUACAAUACUAUGAUUCUAGCUUUGAAAUCCUAUGUGUGUCAUGUUAUAACUUGAAAGGGUAAUACUAAUAAUGAGUACAGGAUCAAGAAUACAUGAGUUUCAUAUUGUCCUUGAACACUUACAAUGAUGAAG
RNAcentral lists this long non-coding RNA (1041 nucleotides) under Lupinus angustifolius (narrow-leaved blue lupine). RNAcentral describes it as "long non-coding RNA (LANG_LNC002500)". Lineage: Eukaryota; Viridiplantae; Streptophyta; Magnoliopsida; Fabales; Fabaceae. The record is from RNAcentral.